This 441-nucleotide long non-coding RNA is filed under the name Danio rerio (zebrafish). RNAcentral describes it as "si:cabz01015815.5 (ENSDARG00000105694.2)". Lineage: Eukaryota; Metazoa; Chordata; Actinopteri; Cypriniformes; Danionidae. The record is from RNAcentral.
UUUUCUUUUUCUGGUCCCCAUCAUAGAACUUUCAAAAAUAUGAAGCACCUGUUUUUUGGAUGUUCAAAUAAUCCAAAUAGUACAGUUGUCAAAAAUAUAUAUUUUUUGACUUUAUUUUUGCGCCCGGUAAAUCAUAUGGGGCUGUUUUUAAACCCUCAUCUAGAAUUUGAUUGUCAUAAAACAAUAGUGACAACACUGAUGACUGCUGUAAAGAUGUAUAAUAUUAUGAAAUAAUAUUGUAUAUAAUAUCUGGUAUGUAAUACCAGACUGUUUAUUAGUCAUUUCAAAUGAUGUGCGUUAAAGGUUUUGUACUGAAAGGUAUACUUACUGAAAAUGGAGGAUUUGGAUUCUGUGUCAACCUAAAAACCAUUUUAACUUGACUUACUUAUUCUUCCAGUUCUGUGUCAUUCCCUUUUAAAUAAAACGUUGUGUCUUGUACUU